Molecule: unclassified non-coding RNA, 382 nt
Filed under: Hevea brasiliensis (rubber tree)
Lineage: Eukaryota; Viridiplantae; Streptophyta; Magnoliopsida; Malpighiales; Euphorbiaceae
Source: RNAcentral
AAUUGCUGCCAGUUCUCACUUAAGGCAUGCCUGGCUCAUUUCAUGAGAGUACUGACGGGCAAGAGCUUUCUGCUGUACACACAAGAAAUCACCCUAAACAGAACAUAAGGAAGGCAACAUUUCCUUUCAUAGCAAGUCAUUCAGCUAUUACAAUGGACCAUAAAAUGCACAUUUAAUUCGUCUUUCCUUAACUGUAUUGAUUAUACACCGACGAGCUAGUUCUAGAAAAUUACUCAUCUAGGAGCCAAAGAUAAUAAAGAAUAUUGAAUAGCUAGAGUAGAUGUUUCCAGCAGUGUGCUUCAAAGAAUAUUAAAGAAAAAUGCACAUAUCAUUAUACGUUAUUCAAGGAUUUAUGUUCGUUUAAUUAUCAGCAAGUAUUUAA